CGGCGGACGGGUGAGUAACGCGUGGGUAACCUGCCUCAUACAGGGGGAUAACAGUUGGAAACGGCUGCUAAUACCGCAUAAGCGCACAGUACCGCAUGGUACGGUGUGAAAAACUCCGGUGGUAUGAGAUGGACCCGCGUCUGAUUAGGUAGUUGGUGGGGUAACGGCCUACCAAGCCGACGAUCAGUAGCCACCUGAGAGGGUGACCGGCCACAUUGGGACUGAGACACGGCCCAA
Molecule: ribosomal RNA, 237 nt
Filed under: uncultured bacterium
Lineage: Bacteria
Description: partial 16S ribosomal RNA
Rfam family: Bacterial small subunit ribosomal RNA
Source: RNAcentral